This 77-nucleotide transfer RNA is filed under the name Actinobacteria bacterium HGW-Actinobacteria-6. Its description in RNAcentral is "tRNA-Asp". It matches the Rfam family "tRNA". Rfam says of the family: Transfer RNA (tRNA) molecules are approximately 80 nucleotides in length. Their secondary structure includes four short double-helical elements and three loops (D, anti-codon, and T loops). The record is from RNAcentral. Lineage: Bacteria; Bacillati; Actinomycetota. RNAcentral also lists the same sequence under 5 other names.
GGGGGUGUAGCUCAGUUGGUUAGAGCGCUGGCCUGUCAAGCCAGAGGUCGCGGGUUCGAGCCCCGUCACUCCCGCCA